GGUUGGUCAAGAUUCAAAGACUCGCAGGUCUCCAAGGUGAGUUAUCAAAAGGUAAGAAAGCAUAUGAAAGAUAUGAAAACAGUAAUUUUUAGUCGGGCUCGCAGGCCCACAAUGUUGACGCACUUGCAAGUCCCUUUUAUCUUAUUUUACGAGCAUUUCUCAAUUACAGUUCCUAUUACGGCUUGGCCUAGUGUGCGGGUCAUGUGUUUAUAUGUUAUACAUUACAUUUACUGCAAUUGUAGUUUGUGUGUGGGCUAUACAGAGGCUCGCCGGCCUCUCGUCCAACUUGCCGGUCGGGAUAAUGACCUGAGUCCUUGUGAGUUUUACGUUCAAGUCUCUAUGUGUCCUCUUAUUGGCGUGUGUGUCUAUUCGGAUUGGGGUUAUUGUCCCUUGGCGCUCCUCUGGAGGGGGGGGGGAAAGUUAGGGUUGGGGUGGGGAGGGGUGUUAGGGUAGUCAGUCGUCUGUCGUCAAGUGUGUGAUCCCUAAGUCCUUCCUGUCUGUGGUGUGGCAUUUGCCAGAUCUAGUUCCCUUUGGAAUCCUUCCUUCGCCGUCUCUAGGAUCCAAUGUGUCCAUAUGUCCAUGUAGGUUGUCGGGGUAGUGUUAGUCAUCAGGGUCAGUUCCUCUAUUGUCCUCAGUUCCUCCAUUUGGCUAAACCAGGUCUUAAGUGGAGGUGUUAUGGCCUGUUUCCAGAAUUGGGGGAGCACUCGUUUGGCUACAUUGAGUAUUCGAAUGGUCAUAGAUUUUUUGUAUUUGGAAUGAGGAGUAGAGGUGUGGUGCAGGAGCAUUGCUGCCAGUUCUAGGGGGGGUGGUUUGUCCGUAAAUUUCUCUAGCAUUUUGUGGAUGUUUUGCCAGUAUGGUUUGAUCUUUGCGCAUUCCCACCAUAUGUGUUAUACUACCCUCCUCUUGUUGGCAUCUCCAGCAUAGGCCGGGUUGAUCUGGGUCUAUCUGGUGAAGGAAGUGAGGUGUCCUGUACCAUUGUGUCAGUAGUUUGUAGGCUGUCUCUUGUGUUUUGCUGUGCGUGGAGCAGUGGUGUGCGAGGUAACAUAUGGACUCCCAUUCCUUAUUUGUCAGCGUGUAUCCGAGGGCUUCCUCCCAUUUCCUCAUAAAUAGGGGUGUCUCGGUCGGGAUGUCCGUUUGUAGCAUGGUGUAAAGGAAAGAUACUCCAUGUGGGAGCGGGUCUGGGUGCAUACAGACCACUUCCAGUGUGGUAUGUUGUCUAGUGAGCGCUGAGCCCUGUGGUAAGGUAUGGACAAAGUUGGUUAGCUGGGUAUAUCUGAAGUGCUGCAUGAAGGUUGGGUGCGUCUCUGUCGUCAUGUCUGUCAGUUUUUUACAUUUCCCUCCCUGCAGGACAUGGUGUAGGCGUGGGUGUGGGUCUGGGAGGAUGUCUUUAAAGGCUCUUGGGUCUAGUCCCGGGGGAAAGUCGACGUUGUGCGUCAGUAGGAGGGGGGAGGGGUAUGGUGACAUGGUCCCCUUCCUCGUUGUCCUCCUCCAUACUUUCAUGGUGUGUUUUGUGUAGAUGGACAUUUCGCCCCAUUUUGCCGUUUCUCGGCCCCAGGGUAGUCCCGAGAGUGUUCUGCCUGCCUCCGUCUCUUCCACCGUCUUCCAGAGUUUGUGCACGCUGUCUUUUGACCACUCCACAAUUCUCUGGAGGUGUGUGGCCACAUAAUAUAGGUGGAAGUCUGGGAGGGCUAAUCCUCCUUUAUCCUUAGGUCGUGUCAGGGUGGAGAAUUUCACUCUAGGUCUCCUUCCGUUCCAUACGUAUCUGGUCAUUUCUGUUCUAAGGGUACUAACAAAAGGGCCCGGGAUCUCGAUGGGGAUAGCUUGGAGGAGGUAUAGGAGGCGUGGAAGGAAGUUCAUUUUUAUUACCUGAACUCUCCCUAACCAUGAGAUGUGGGGGUACGACCAUUCUCGCAUGUCUUUUUGGAACGUCUGGAGUGUAUCUGUGAAAUUUUCCUUGAACAUGUCCUCACUUCGGUUGGUCAGCCAGACUCACAAAUAUCUAAUUUUAUGUUCGGCCCAUUGGAAGGGGAAGCUUUGUCGGAGGGGGUUCGCCCGUUCAGUACGCUUACGUUAAGGAUGAAGGAUUUGCCGUAGUUAAUUUUCAAAUUGGAGAUUUUCCCAUAUAGCUGUAGAUCCCUCUGUAUGUAUGGGAGGGAGAUUUCAGGGUUCGUUACCAUAAAGAGUAGGUCGUCUGCGUAUGCAGCUACCUUGUGUUGCGUGUUAUCAGUCCGGUUAUGUCUGUGUUGUGUCGGAUGUGUGUAAGGAAUGGUUCCAGGGCAAGGUCGAACAGGAGUGGGGAGAGGGGGCAACCUUGUCUCGUGCCGUUAUGUAUUGUGAAGGCGUCAGUUAACGCCCCGUUGACCAGCACCUGGGCCGUAGGUUCUCGGUACAAUGCCUCUAUCCAGCGUCGCAUGUGUGGCCCCAGUCCUACAUGGGCAAGUGUUUCGAAAAGAUAUGUCCAGCCGACCCUAUCGAAGGCCUUCUCUGCGUCUGUUGACAGCAGGAGAAGGCCCCGUUUCGUACCCUCUUUCCCAUGCAUGAGGGUAAGUGCCCUGAUGGUGUUGUCCAGAGCCUCUCGGCCUGUCACGAAUCCCACCUGGUCUGGGUGGAUCAGUGAUGGGAUGUGUUGUGUGAGUCGAGUCGCCAGAAUUUUGGCCAAUAGUUUAAUGUCGCUAUUUAUAAGUGAGAUCGGUCUGUAGUUUCCGCAUUGUUCCCUGUCUUUGCCGUCUUUGGGGAUAAUAGUGAUGUGGGCUGUUAGGGCUUGUCUGGGGAAAUGGUUUCCGUCUCUUAUCGAAUUGAACGCUUCUAUCAUGAGUGGGUAUAAGUCUUCAGCGUAUGUCUUAUAAUAUUUAGUCGGUAAGCCGUCUGGUCCCGGGCUUUUGCCCGGUUUGGUUUGUUUAACCGCUAGAGCUAGUUCCUCUAUUGUGAUGGGUUCGUCUAUUACCUCCGCUAUCUCCGCGUCGAGUGUCGGUGUCUGGUAUUUUGUCAAGUAGGCUCGGAUAGAGUCUCUGAGGCGUGUCGUCGCCCCGUUGGUCUUCGGUUGGGGGAGCGUGUAGAGAUCAGUGUAGUAUGUGCGGAACGUUCUCAUGAUGGCUGUCGGGAGGCGGUGUAGGGUGCUCUGUUUGUCUCUAAUUUUAUCAAUGUAUGUGUGUUGCCUCUGCUUUUUCAGCAUCGCGGCUAGGAGUUUUCCGCUUUUGUUCCCGUGUACUGUGAAGAAGGCUUUGUGCCUAGUUGCGUCCCUGUGAUGUUUAGCCUGCAAUAGUGUGGCUAGUUCCCGUCUCAGUUGUAGGAGUCGGGUUUGGUGUGUGUGGUUCGGGGUUUGUUUAUUUUGAUUGUCUGUCUCAUGUAUGUUGGUCAGCAGUGCCUGUAGCCGAGCUUCAGCCUGUUUCUUCAGUAUUGCCCCCUGUUGUAUGUAGUGGCCUCUUAUCACGCUUUUGUGUGCUUCCCAUCGAAUCGUCGGGGAUGUUUGCUCUGCUGUGUUAGUUGUCAGGUAGUCCUUGAUUUUUUCACCUAUUAGGGUUGUGACCUCUAGUUUGGUGAGUAGGUAUUCGUUCAAUCUCCAUUUCGAGGUCGUGGGGCGGUAAAGUGGUGAUUUAAGUUUAAGUAAGACUGGGGCGUGGUCUGACCAUGUGGCCACUCCGAU
Pelobates cultripes (western spadefoot toad) is the source of this 3643-nucleotide non-coding RNA. The record is from the annotation of a GenBank genome assembly. NCBI's taxonomy places the organism in Eukaryota, Metazoa, Chordata, Amphibia, Anura, Pelobatidae.